This 468-nucleotide ribosomal RNA is filed under the name uncultured bacterium. RNAcentral's name for it is "partial 16S ribosomal RNA". It matches the Rfam family "Bacterial small subunit ribosomal RNA", at positions 28 to 507 of the family's 1533-position model. The record is from RNAcentral.
GACGAACGCUGGCGGCGUGCUUAACACAUGCAAGUCGAACGGAAAGGCCCUGCUUUUGUGGGGUGCUCGAUUGGCGAACGGGUGAGUAACACGUGAGUAACAUGCCCUUGACUUUGGGAUAACUUCAGGAAACUGGGGCUAAUACCGGAUAGGAGAUCCUGCUGCAUGGUGGGGGUUGGAAAGUGUCGGCGGUUGGGGCUGGACUCGCGGCUUAUCAGCUUGUUGGUGGGGUAGUGGCUGACCAAGGCUUUGACGGGUAGCCGGCCUGAGAGGGUGACCGGGCACAAUGGUACUGAGAUACGGCCCAGAAUGCAACGGGCGGCAGCGGGGGGAAAUAUGACGCAAUGGGCGGGAGCCAGAUGCAGCAACGCCGGGUGCGGGAUGACGGCCUACUGGUUGUAAACAGCUUUGGCAUGUGACGAAGCGUGAGUGACGGUAACGGGUAAAGAAGCACCGGCUAACUACGUG